This is a long non-coding RNA of Neofelis nebulosa (Clouded leopard), 4412 nucleotides long. RefSeq lists it as uncharacterized. The record is from RefSeq and is a predicted model, not a curated record. The transcript is spliced from 2 exons. Lineage: Eukaryota; Metazoa; Chordata; Mammalia; Carnivora; Felidae.
AGGACUGGCCUUGGAACCUGUCACUGAAGCCUCUGGGGCCAGAUCCCGUCUGGAUCUGGGGGGUGGGAGGUUUGGCGCGAACACACUUUGCAGGAGAAAAGUCUGCUCCCCUGGGAGUCCUGGGCUGGCUCCAGGACCACGGGCAGAAGCUCCUUCGGAUCUUCACAGCAAGGUGGGACCCAAGGGUUGAAGGGACGGUGGCUUCCAGCAGUCAAGGCUGGCGUGCAGGACAGGUCUCACAAGCCCUGAUUUGCAAGUGAGGAGAAACCAGCAGGAGAUGAGGCCACAGGCUCAAGGUCACCCAACUGCCAGACCCCUGCAGGCGCUCAGGCCACUGAGGUGCUAAGUGCUCUUGCAGAUGGUGGUCGCUGACAGCCCUGUGCUUAGCAUUCUGUCGGCAGGUUUGCACAUCGCACCCUCUCAAGUUCCCUGUUUCUCCCCCGUAGCCUUCCUCUGUCCCUAUUUGCUCCGUUCCUUUCCAGUUCUCUCCGGCUCUGCAUCUGCUUCUCCCACUUUCUGUGUCCCCCGCCCCCACUUCACCCCUGCCCCUCUCAGUCUUGCCUCCAGCUUCUCAUCUGGGGCCAUCCUCAGGAAUCUGGACGGUCAGAGAUCCCUGGAGACCGACAGAUGUCCAGCUAUCCCUCACUGUCCCUCUGCCCUGUGGCUGUGGCAGGAAGGGUGGGCAAAGGGCAGAGGGUGGAGGCCACGGUGGCCCAACCUGGAACUGGGGCCCAGCUCUGGUUGGGAAAGAAAGGAGGAAACAAGGAACUUGGGGCCAGAGGGUGUGGGGUGUCAGGGCGGGCAAAGGCUGCCCAGGAGCUAUAAAUCGGGGCCACUCCCGGCUUUAUGAGCAGAGCUGGGGCUGAGACAGGACUUCGCCCAGAAAAGAAGGGCUGGCAUCAGACUCCAGGCGUGGGCCCCGGAUGAUAAGGAGCCUCAAUAAAAAGACCACGGACCUGGGGCCAUGAGGACCCAAGAGGCCCACAUGGGUGGGCACGGGUCCUCCCCGGACUUCUGCCCAAGGGGGAGACACCAGACAGGCAAGGUCCAGGCCUCCAGUUGGUUCCCACCCUCUGUAACAGCAACUCCAUGUGGAAGUGCCCACUGGUUCCAGUGGGGCUGCUGUUAUCGGGGAUGGGGACCAGUACCCACGGAGGAGGAAGAGCACGCCAGCAGGGACCUCCACGGCUGCGCUCCCAGGCCCAGGAUGGCAAAGGGCAGUGGGCUGUCGGCAGGCUGCCGAGACCGAGUGCACAGGGCUCUGACCUAUGAAUUGACAGCCAGUGUUCCCAUCUCCCCUCUGGCUGCCAAUUCCAUAGGUCACAGGUAUGUUCGCCUCAAUGUCAGCCGCCGGGACCUGCAGUGCAGGGAGGGGAAGGGGUGGGGCGAGGGGUGUCCAGAGGGCAGGGAAGACUUGCUACCCCAGGGCAGCCCUCAGGUCCAACUCCUUCCUGUUUCGUUCCUACCUUUCCAUGUCCCCUCCCGUGAGCUUGCCCUGCUUUAGGUCCCUGCCUGUACUGACCGCUUGUGGCAUGCCUGAGUGCUUUGCCCAUGCUUUUCCCUCUGCCUGGAACACUUUUCCCUGCUUUUUUUGUGCCAGGUUCACCCUUACUAACUGUUCCAAGCUCUGCCCAAGCAUUGGCUGCCUACAGGAAGCCUUCCUGAAACCCACUUGAUCCCCAGUGCCCUCCUGGGCACCCCCAGCAACCUGUGCUUCCCCAGAGAACUGUACUCCCCCCCCCCCCCCGCCCCCGGUGUUCCCAUCCUCCCCACCACCUGUGAGCUCAGCUCCCGGCACCCAGCCCCGUGUGCUCGGUGGAUGUCCAAACAGAUCCUAAGCCUUCGUCUUGCACCCCAAGGAAGCACCACCAAUGUCCCAUGUGGCCAAGAGGGGCCGAGGGCUCCGGGCCCCAGUCUGUGUCAGAGCCUCUCCAGGACGAGGACCCCCCCGAACCGCCUCCCCUCCACUGGCCUGCUCUCUCCUCUCUCCCUGCAGCACAGCCCGGACUUGCCUGCCCAGCUGAGGUGGCCGUGGAGGAAGGCGACCGUGUGAGGGCAGGACCUGGCGGAGGUCUCCGCAACAGCCUCGCUCCUGCUUGGCUUUCAUACGAUGCCGAUGCCGAUGCCGAUGCGAUGCCCGUUCCGGAGACAUUCGCAUUUGAAUUAAAAGCCUUCUGCUGCUAAAAGAUAAGCUUUUCGAAAUUGGAAACAGAGACCUAAGAAUAAAGUUCAAAUUGCUCAACGAUAGGAGCCGGCUCUGGAGCCCUUUCUGUGUGCCGGGCCCUGGCAUGCAUCGGUCACCUGGGAUCAACUCAACGACCUUGUGAAGCGACUAUCAUGGACCUGUUCGGGAGAUGACGACUCGGGGCUCGCAGAGGGGGGAGCAUCUUGCUAAAGUGAGAGUAGUUGAACCUUCUCUCUCCGAGGACCAGGCAGCUGGCAAGCAUCCAGCCACCCUCUCUGGCCCCUAUGACUCUUAUCCCGGUGGGGCUUCUUUGCUGCCCCAUCGGCUCCAGAUCCCUGGGCCACCACCUUUACCGAGCUGGGCUCAGAUGUCCCUCCCGCUACCUCCCCUCACUACCUCCCACCGCUCCCCCCACCCACCACACCUUGGGCCCCUGGGCCUCUCCCUGCUCCCUCUUAUCUUAUCCCUUCAGGGCUGAGAGCUCCAUGCUCUUAACACCCUGGGCUCCAGACUCCUGGAGGGCAAAGUCCAUGAUUCACUCAUCCUGCCUGGCCCCUGACCCCACCCCAGCAUGGCAGGUGUUCCAGAAACCCUGGCCCUCUUGGGGGCUGUCAGGCCCCGGGCUCAGAGUGCUGGCUUAGGGUGGGUGGGUGGAAGGGCGUCCACUUCCAUCUGCCUCUACAGAGCCUCUGGCAGCUCCAGAAGAUCAUAUCCCAGCUCCAGAGCAAGGCCCACCCAGCUGCCUCUGACCAGCUCGUUUCUCUUCACUGCCCCAGGGCCGUUUCCAGAGAGGCCCCCGGGGCCGUAUGCUCCUUGCCUAGCCUGGAUCCUGCCCCCACUUUCUUUUAAGACCUCCGGGACACCUGCUGCUUGGUCCUUUCCCCCCACUCAGUGGCUCCCGUGACGUGACCGCUCUUAGAGUCCCCAUCACCAAUGCCUGGCUAUUCCCCGCCCAACUUGCGAACCCCUGGCCGCAGCAGCCACUGACUUUUUGUUUCCUGUAGCCUCGGAGACUGGUGCCGAGUAGCUGCUUAAUAAAUGCCAGCUGAAGCACCGACCACACGACCACGCGUGUGAAUGAAGAGGCCUGUGGGGAGCAGGCGGCAGACGCAGGCGGGUGCAAGGCCCUCAGUGAGUUCCGGCUGUCGUCUCCAUCACCAUCACCAUCACCAUUGCCGCAGUGGACCCGGCUGCUGGGUUCGUCUGUGUCCGCGUGGUUGCUGGAGCCAUAGUGUGUUUCCAUCCGUUCGCUGCUGUGCCGCAUUCCGCUGUAUGAAUAGAAAAGCUGGGUUAUCCUUCUUACUAUAAACGGACUUAGUACUGCUGGGUCACGCAUGGGGCAGCAAAUACAACGCUGGACCAGGCUGCACAGUGGUCUGAAGGAGGAGCGCCUGGUUACAGGCGGGUUUUUUUGGUUCGUUGUUGACAAUUAUGAAACCUUCAGAAAAAAGGUGCGAGAAAAGCACAAUGAACACCCUUACACCCUUCGCCCGGAUUCACCGACACUUAACAUUUUGCCACGUUUGCUUUCUCUUUCUCUUUCUCUCGCACGCGUGAAUGUUUUCGGAACCAUUUGAGAGUAGGUUACGUACGUUAUGACCCUUCACCCUUAAAUAUUUCAACACGUACCCCCCCCCCCAUGACAUCUCUUUACACAACCACAGUACGGUUACCAAAUUGAGGCCCGGUGACAAUGACGCAAUACUGUGAUCGUACGUGUCAUCCCCUUUCAAAUGUCUCCCGUUGUCCCAAUCAACGGGGAUCACACCUCACCUGUGGUCGCCUGGUCCCUUCAGCUUUCUUUAGUCUGCAGUUGUCUUCGACCUGUGAUCAGGUCGUGAUCCAUGGGUUCAAGCCCCAUGUUGAGCUCUGUGCUGACAACUUUGGUUUUCAAGACCUUGACAUUUUUGAAGAGGACAGGCCAGUUGUUUUGUAGUAUGCCCCCUCGGGUUUUUUCCCCCCACUUGCCCCCAGUUAAGAAAAUCAAAGGGGGCGCCUGGGUGGCUCGGUUGGUUGAGCGUCCGACUUCGGCUCAGAUCACGAUCUCACAGUUUGUGGGUUCGAGCCCCGCAUCAGGCUCUGUGCUGACCGCUUGCUCAGAGCCUGGAGCCUGCUUCAGAUUCUGUGUCUCCUUCUCUCUCUGCCCCUCCCCCGCUCACACUUUGUCUCUCUGUUUCUCAAAAAUAAAUAAAUGUAAAAACAAAAAUUAAAAAAAAAGAAAAUCAAA